This is an RNA transcript of Leopardus geoffroyi (Geoffroy's cat), 4403 nucleotides long. It is a transcript of the gene named unc-13 homolog D, with no coding region annotated. The record is from RefSeq and is a predicted model, not a curated record. The transcript is spliced from 31 exons. NCBI's taxonomy places the organism in Eukaryota, Metazoa, Chordata, Mammalia, Carnivora, Felidae.
CCCGGCCUCUGUGGGAGGGUGGGGUGGAGCCGGACCUGCCCACCGGGUCCACCUGCCUCCCGUUCGGGAGAGUUCCUCCCAGGACCCCAGCAGGCCGGAGGGAGGAAGGUACAGGCCUCAGAGGUGGUGAAACCCUGACCGGAACCUCCCCCGGCCCGCCGGCCCCCACCCCUCCCUCGCGCAGGGUGGCACCCAGUGCUCUUUGCAUAAUCCUGUGGCUUCGCGAUCUUCACCCUGCGGCAGCGGCUCGGCAGAGGGGAAGGGCAGAACGGGCCACCAUGGCGACACACCUCUCCCAGUCCCAGCGGCGCCCUCCCCUCUUACGCCAGGCCAUCAAGAUAAGGCGCCGCAGGGUCAGAGAUCUGCAGGAUCCCCUGCCCCGAACGGCUCAGGAGAUCGAGCCUCCAUCCCACCACUUCUCCCCUGAAGAGCGGGCCCUACUGUACGAGGAAGCUCUCUACACCAUCCUGCACCGCCUGGGUCAGCCCGAGCCCAACCAUGUGAAGGAGGCCUCAGAGCUGCUUCGAUACCUGCAGGAGGCCUUCCACAUGGGGCCCGAGGAACACCAGCAGCUGCUGCAGAAGGUCCAGAAGCUUGAGAAGCCAAUAUUUUGUCUGAAGGCAACGGUGAAACAAGCCAAGGGCAUUCUGGGCAAAGACGUCAGUGGAUUCAGUGACCCCUACUGCCUGCUGGGCAUUGAGCAGGGGGUAGGCGCUCCGGGAGGCAGCCCUGGGUCCCGGCAUCGGCAGAAGGCUGUGGUGAGGCACACCAUCCCGGAGGAGCAGACCCACCGCACCCAGGUCAUCACCCAGACCCUCAACCCUGUCUGGGAGGAGACGUUCAUCCUGGAGUUUGAGGACAUAAGCAACUCAAGCUUCCAUCUGGACAUGUGGGACCUGGAUACCGUGGAGUCUGUCAGACAGAAACUCGGGGAACUCACCGAUCUGCACGGGCUGCGGAGGAUCUUUAAGGAGGCCCGGAAGGACAAAGGCCAGGAUGAUUUUCUGGGGAACGUGGUUCUGAGGCUACAGGACCUACGCUGCCAAGAGGAUCAGUGGUACCCUCUGGAGCCCUGCACCGAGACCUACCCCGACCGCGGUCAGUGCCACCUCCAGUUCCAGCUCAUUCACAAGCGGAGAGCCACCGCGGCCAGCCGCUCCCAGCCCAGCUACACGGUGCACCUCCACCUGCUGCAGCAGCUCGUGUCCCACGAGGUCACCCAGCACCAGGCGGGCAGUACCUCCUGGGACGGGUCGCUGAGUCCCCAGGCUGCAACCAUCCUCUUUCUCCAUGCCACGCAGAAGGACCUGUCUGACUUCCACCAGUCCAUGGCGCAGUGGCUGGCCUAUAGUCGUCUCUACCAGAGCCUGGAGUUCCCGAGCAGCUGCCUCCUGCACCCCAUCACCAGCAUCGAGUACCAGUGGAUCCAGGGCCGGCUCAAGGCAGAACAGCGAGAAGAGCUGGCUGCCUCGUUCCGCAACCUGCUGGCCUACGGCCUCUCCCUCAUCAGGAGGUUCCGGUCUGUUUUCCCGCUCUCUGUCCCCGACUCCCCAGCCCGGCUGCAAUCUCUUCUCAGGGUCCUGGUACAGAUGUGCAAGAUGAAGGCCUUCAGGGAGCUGUGCCCCGACAGCGCCCCCCUGCCCCGCCUGGUGACCGAGGCGCUGCGGACCGGCACCGUCGAAUGGUUCCACCUGAAGCAGCAGCACCAUCAGCCCAUGGUGCAGGGCAUGCUGCAGGCAGGCAAGGCCUUGCUGAGCCUGGUGCAGGACAUCAUUGGCGACCUACACCAGUGCCAGCGCACGUGGAACAAGAUCUUCCAGAAUGCCCUCAAGGUCAACCUCUUCUCCAUGGCUUUCCCGGAGCUUCAGUGGCUGGUGGCCAAGCGGGUACAGGACCACACGGCGGCGGUGGCGGGCAGCCCCGUGUCCCCGGAGGUGGGCGAGAGUCUAUUCCAGCUCUAUGUCAGCCUCAAGGAGCUCUGCCAGCUGGGCCCAGUCCCCGCAGAGAGGGAUGGAGUCCUGGCCCUGGAUGGCUUUCACCGCUGGUUCCAGCCCGCCGUCCCCUCCUGGCUGCAGAAGACAUACAGUGUGGCCCUGGCGCGGGUGCAGCGCGCUGUGCAGAUGGAUGAGUUGGUGCCCCUGGGUGAACUGACCAAGCACAGCACAUCAGCCGUGGAUCUGUCCACCUGUUUCGCCCAGAUCAGCCAUACUGCCCGGCAGCUGGACUGGCCCGACCCAGAGGAGGCCUUCAUGAUCACCGUCAAGUUUGUGGAGGAUACCUGUCGGCUGGCCCUGGUGUACUGCAGCCUCAUAAAGGCCCGGGCCCGGGAGCUCUCCGCAGGCCAGAAGGACCAGGGCCAGGCGGCCAACAUGCUAUGCGUGGUGGUGAACGACAUGGAGCAGCUGCGGCUGGUGAUCGGCAAGCUGCCCACCCAGCUGGCAUGGGAGGCGCUGGAACAGCGGGUAGGGGCUGUGCUGGAGCAGGGGCAGCUGCAGAACACGCUGUAUGCCCAGCUGCAGGGCGCGCUGGCCGGGCUGGGCCACGAGAUCCGCACUGGCGUCCGCACCCUGGCCGAGCAGCUGGAGGUGGGCAUUGCCAAGCACAUCCAGAAGCUCGUGAGUGUCAAGGAGUCUGUCCUGCCUGAGGAUGCCAUUCUGCCCCUGAUGAAGUUUCUGGAAGUGAAGCUCUGCUACAUGAACACCAACUUGGUGCAGGAGAACUUCAACAGCCUUCUGACCCUGCUCUGGACCCACACGCUCACCGUCCUGGUGGAAGUGGCCGCCUCCCAGCGGAGCUGCCCCCUGGCCUCUAGCAGGCUGAAGACUGCACUUCAGAAUCUGGAGAUCUGCUUCUACGCAGAGGGCUGUGGCCUGCCACCUGAGGCCCUGCACACAGCCACCUUCCAGGCUCUGCAGAAAGACCUGGAGCUGCAGGCCGCUUCUAGCAGGGAGCUCAUCCAGAAGUACUUCUGCAGCCGGAUCCAGCAGCAGGCAGAAGCGGCUUCUGAGGAGCUAGGGGCGGUCACAGUCAAAGUCUCCUACCGCGCCUCUGAGCAGAAGCUGCGUGUGGAACUGCUCAGCGCCUCCAGCCUGCUGCCCCUGGACUCCAAUGCCCUAACAAUGCAGGCAAUAAAUGACCUGAUAAGGGGCAUGUGAUGCCAGCGAGGAGGAUGGUUCCAGAAGGCACAGAAGACUGUGUGCAGAAGAGGGCAUGGAGUGAGGAACAACCUGACCUGAAGCAACUGUCCAGGCCUGGAGUAGCGCCUGAAGCUAGAAGGCACCAGAUGAAGGCGAGAGGGUCCAGCCCAGGUCUUUGGCUCAGGCCAGGACACCUGGGGCCUUCCUUGUCUGGGCAUACGGAAGGUGUAGGGACAGAUUAUAAAAUCCUUGACAGCAAGUAAAAGCUAAGUACGGUUUGCUGAAUGAAUACAAGAAAUGAGGUCACAGAAAGAGCAAAGCCCACAAAACAAUAGCAACAGCUUUGGGAUGCUGCCAGCAGGCAAAGCAUUGAGAGCGGAAAGCCUGAUCCUAUGCCCUCGUGAAAAGUAUCACACUGCAGGAAACCCGUAACUCAGCAGAUAGGGCAGUUUCCUGCAGAAAAGCCCCUCGUGAGAAGGGGCUGAGUGACAAGAUUUAGUGCAGGCAGAGAGCCCACCUUCAACCAACUACAAUCAGAGGAGAGAAAUUUUUAACCUUUUGCUAAAGUCAUUAAUGGAACUGUACUACCUGCUACCUAAGAACUAAAACGUUUGGUCAGAACUUCCCACUCUCCCUCUCCCACUCUGACCCUGUGCUAACCGGCAAUGCAGUACUCAGAAAGCAAGGAGAAAACCACUUAGAGAUCACUUUUCUAUUUUCAUGGAUUAAAAUGAAACAAAUUUUCAGUGGAAAUGCAUAACUAUCGCUGUUAAGUACCAAUCCAUCUCAUCUUAAAGGUUUGAAAGUACAAAUCUAAGAAACGAAAUAUGUUGAAAUUUACUCUUUAAUUCAACCGGUUCUCAGGAAACCCAAGAAGUCCUGGGAUCUAACGGAGGAAGGCAGACACACCAACUACUCACUCCCCCCACUCCCAUCCAAGCUCUGAGGAGGGUACAAGGCCCCAAGACUCAAUUCUUCACACUCUCACCUCCCAGGAAGACCUCCACUCAAGGGUAAAAGCAGUAACAUAGAAUAGUUCCUAACUGCAAGGCCUCAACGAGCUGCUACUACGGCCAGAAUGAAUCCAGAAACCACACAGGCCUUGGGGAAGUAAGAGCUCUGAGACAAAGUCAUGCCUUCAACUGGUAGAAGGAUCAACAAAGCUUGGAGGGACACACAAAUGGUCAGAGCUUCACCUUUCCUAAACAGUGCCUUCCUAUGUGCCCAACUGGGAACUAAGCUUAAAUAAAAGCUAGCUUUCACUUC